Canis lupus familiaris (dog) is the source of this 2013-nucleotide long non-coding RNA. RefSeq lists it as uncharacterized. The record is from RefSeq and is a predicted model, not a curated record. Lineage: Eukaryota; Metazoa; Chordata; Mammalia; Carnivora; Canidae. The transcript is spliced from 5 exons.
UGGAAUUGCCUUUAUUGACUUUUAGAAUACCUCCGCGUGGGCUCAGUUUUGACUACUUUUAUGAAAGACAGAGGGUACGGCUUGCAACCUAGAACUCCAGAGCAACUCAGGACCUAGCAAGGACAUUGUCCAUCCACCACCUCUUAUCUUUUGCAUAUUCCAAAGAAGGUUGGGAAGAGAAGUUGGAGCUGACCGUAAAAGCACUACGAGGAUGGAGGCGGGGCAAAGCAGAGGCACACACUCUGGCACUGGGAAAAGAAACAAAAACUAACCUGGAAGACCGUAGCAGUCCACAAAUCGUACAGAGUAAGAGGAAUUUGCCUCAAACACAUACCAUCUGUUCAGUUUUAUUUCCCUUUCUAUUGAAACAUGAAGUGAUUGUCCAAAGGGCCCCCUCAACAACACGGAGAAAGAGUCCCAACUAGAAUAAGAACUUGAGACCGUAAGUCCAGUGCUCAUUGGACGUCCACCUCGUUCACAAAUUCCUACAGCUAGGAUCCCCUGUACCCACCCAUGCUCUCCUACUAUUUUUUCUCAAGACCUCUGCGACAGUAGUCUUUUUAAAAAGAAGCUAAAUAACAAAUCACUUUCACUUCUCUAUUCAAACCACCCAACGGAUCUUGAUAUCACACAGAGAAAAAGGUGCAGUCCUUACGGGUCAUCCACCAUCUGAAUGUAAGCUCUACAAAGCGAAGAGGUUUUUCUCCUUUUGCUCACUGCUGAAUGCCUCCAUCAAAAAUAAAGCUUACUCUACAGAAAGAGUCGACAACUAUUUCUAGAACAAAUGAGCAAAACAGAAAGACAAUUAACACUCUCUUCAUACUCCGCGUCAUAACUCACCGGCUUUCUGAUCUUAGGCCGAUCACUGACAUCUUACCUAACUAACCUUCUGACCUUCAACAAUGGCCAAAAUUAUUAUGGCUUCCUCUUAUAGAAUAUAUUAUUUGGCAAAAUGCAAGUUCCUUGGGGACCAGGAAUUUUGAAACGUUCAUCAGGAUGUCCUCUGGGGCUCGUAGAAAGUUGUUUGCUCGGUGCUCCAGGGAAUGGGUAACCAGCAGAAGCAGCGAACAACCACAGCUGAAAAACAGGGCGUUUUCAGGAUACAGACUGGCUGGGAUCAGAAGCGGAACUGCUUAUCGAGAAGCCAUCUCUUCCCCAACUUGUGACUUUAAGGAUGAGUGGGCAUUUUUGCAAAGGUUCAUUAGUGGAUUAGGAGAGAUUUGAAACUGAGCCCAGUGGAGUCAGCAGAGACAAGUUCCAAACAGCCACUCAGCGCAUUUUGAAAAGUACCAAGCUAGCAACCUGGAAAAGAUCCACCAGUAAAAUUUGGUUGUACUUGUGUGCGUGGAGCCCCACUGGACUGACAAAACAUCCACUUCUAGAUGGACGGGAGCGGCAACAUGGCCCCAAACCAACAACGCAAAAGCUGUUGUGUUCCAUAAUCCACCCCAGCAGGGCUUGCCCCAAGUGGAGAGAAGCAGACUGCCUGGGGCACACCUGUUGCUGGAGCUCAUCUGACAUGUGGACACAGGAGCUUGCAGUGGUGUUCACAGGACCGAUGCACUGACUAUGGUCUCCGGGAAAUGCCAAUGGUGAAGUUAAGUAUAUCUUGAGAUUUAGUGUUCAUUUUAAAGAAAACACCCAAUGUACUGGCAUGAAGUGCAGAUUACUAACAGAAAAGAAGCAGCACAGUUCUGCUAUGUAUGUGUAAGGAAGGGAAGGGGUUAAUCCCAAAGGCAAUUUAAAUAAUGGUAUUUUAUUUUUUUAUAUAUAAACAAAUGUUCUGAGAAAUCUCAGACUUUAGUGCAUUGUUGUAAAAAAAUAGUAAAAUAUGUAAAAAUUCCUGGGGCUGGGUCACUCUGGGGCCCUGGGUCUGGGCUUCAGUUCCAGAAAAGCAGCCUGGCGAGACGGUCAAUUCUGCUGACAGGCACAGUAUUGUUUCCACUGUGUGGUAUGAGAAUGGGCUAUUGGAAUGGUGCUGACACGCUGAUAUUGACGUUCUCACUCACUUGG